AGUGAGAGUUUACUACAGUUGUUUUAGAAAUUAAUUCUUGAUAUUGUUUGUAAUACAGUUUCUAACUUAUUCCCCUCAAAUUUGUAUUUUAGGCUUUUUUCAAAGACCCAAAUGUUAUUCCUAAUUUGAAGUUACUUUCAGAUUCUUCUGGACAAUGGAUUACAUUAGGUAAAUAAAACAUAUUUUUAUCUUUUCGGAUGAUGAUUUUAUUAUAACAAAAUUUUGCCUUUGGAAUUUUCAUUAUUAAAAUACACAUUGUGAAUAAUGACUCACCUGUUUGAUAACAUCAAGGUCAAACAUGAUGAGCUGUGCCAGGCCUGCCCUGCGUCUUUCUCCUGGGGGCCCACUGCUCCUGUCCUGGCACGGCACAGGAGCACCAGUUCUCUUUUCAUUCAUUGGGAAAGUAUUUAUUGUGUGUCUCCCAUGGACUCUGCUCGAUGCAGGGAACAGUGAGAUGAACACAAGAAAAUCAUGCUCAAGAAACUGGUUGAUAUGUAAAAAAAAAUAGUGCGAGGGGUGCCUGGGGAGGCUGAGUCGGGUGAGCGUUCGACUUCAGCUCAGGUCAUGAUCUCACAGGAUGUGGGUUCAAGCCCCACAUCUGGCUUUGCGCUAACAGCACGGAGUCUGCUUCAGAUUCUGUCUCCCUCUCUCUCUACCCCUCUGCCGCUCGCACACGUGUUCUCUCUCUGUCUCUCUCAAAAAUAAAAACAUUAAAAAAAAAAAUAGUGCAAUAAUGUGCUACCAUAGCAGUAGGAGCAAAAGGAGGAGAGUGUCAGGUAGAGUUCUGCUGAUGUGAGGGUGUUUGAGCAAAAGCAUUCAGGGCGGGGCAGCGGAUUUCUGACCGAGGAAGUGGCCAUUCAUGGAAUGUUAAUAAAAUAACAUACAAAGUCAUGGAAGAGAGUCUUAAAAUCUCAAAAAGAAAAUUUUAUCUAUGUAAUAAUUUCAUAGUACCUUGAAACAUAGGUAGGAAUCUUUAAGCAAAAUUACCCAAACAAUAGCACUCAAAUCUCUUAAAUAACUCUUAGGUUAAGGAGUAAACCAGAGAGUUAAUAGAAGAGUGUUUUGAAAACAAAAACAUGACCACUAUAUUUUAAAUGUUAGUUUGAAGUGUGUUAACAAUAGAACCAGUCAUUCUUCCACUUAGGAGGAAAAUCUGGUUAGUAAUGUGGGUUUGUGCUUAAGAAAAAUGUAAGUGGAUUUUAAAUUAGAUGGGGUUGUUUUGGUAAAUUCCUACAUUGCAUGUUCAUGGAAUUCUAGUAGUCUUACACAAAAAUGACUUUGCCGAAAGUAUUACUCAAGAACGAGAUUUGUGACGUUAGAAUCAGUAGGUCACAUUUUAUUGCUUUUGGCUAAAAACCACUGUAAAAUUUAUAGAGCAAAAAGCUGGUACAGGGUGAUCUUCAGAAUACUUUCAGAGUUAGACUGACUCUCUGAGCAAAUGUACUUACAGGUUCAAAAUCUUCAGAAGGAAAUAAUCACAGGCACGUAGCAAAGAGUUUAUGAAACUUUUACAGUAACUUCAGUCAAUUUUACAAAAAUAAGGUUCGUUGAAAAAAGUUCAAUCUUCUCCCGUACUGACAAACAGUACUGACUUUUUUCUGAUUUUUAAAAAACGCAUUGCAAGAAGAGAGGUUCUAAAAUUCCACAUGUGCCUGGCAGAAUCCAUUAGAAGUACUCUGAAAAAUUGGGCAAAAGAGGUAGCACUCUACUUCAGAAGUAGAAGUUUCUAGGGGAUUGCUGUACUCUUCCAUUAGCUUGUUUUGUAUCUCCUACCAGCUUUUCUGUUUCUGAUGUAUCAGCCGUCUUCUCUCCAAUUUUCCUCUGAGGGCCAGCUGUUAAAAUAAACAGCUUUUGAAAAUGAGAGAAAAGGCAUUCUUGUAGCAAGUGAACCAGUGGUAAAGAGUGUGGUGAAGGAUCCCCCUCACUGCUGCCCUCGCCUGGGCCUGGACUGCCAGGGCUUUCUGCCGCGGUCCCUGUCUCCCAGAUGCUGCAGCCCUCCUCAUACAGACACACUGUGCCCUUUUUUGGGUGACAUAUAAUGGAUACUUCCUAUGUGCUUAGUUAAGGGCAUUAUAUUCAUUACAUCCUUUAAAUGGCUUUUUUUUUCAAUUCAUUUUUGAGAGAGCGCAAGAAAGACGGCAAAGAGAGAGGAACAGAGGAUCCGAAGGGGCUCUGCGCUGACAGCAGCAAGCCUGAUGUGGGGCUUGAACUCACAAGCCACGAAAUCAUGACCUGAGCCAAAGCGGUAUGCUUGACUGAGCCACCCACAUGCCCCCAUUACCUCCUUUAAUUCUCAGACCAACUCAGAGAGGUAUUAUUAUAUGUCCCUAUGUCCCAAAUGAAGAGUCAGAUUCAUGAGCUAAAUAAUUUGCAGUUUUGCACAGCUGGCCGGACUCCAGAAUUCGAGGUCUUGACCACUACACUAUCCUGUCUCUGCCAUUUCAGCAUUAAUGAAGUUGUCAGAAAACACCAAUUUGGACACCAAGUAAAUAGACACCUGUGUAUUAUGCUAAUAUCAAGGGGAAAAAAUACAUUCUUAACUUUGUAUGUGAUCAUAGCAGUGCAUCACAUGUCUUAUAAAUGGUGGAGACAUGAUUUUACCAUAUUUUCUGCCUAACAGCAUGUGCUAUGGACUCAAUUGUGGCCCCCCGCCCCCCGCCAAGUUCUUACGUUGAAGCUUUAACCCCCAAUGUUUUUGUAUUUGAAGAUGAGGCCUGGGGCGCCUGGGUGACUCAGUCGGUUGAGCGUCCAACUUCGGCUCAAGUCAUGAUCUCGCGGUUCGUGGGUUUGAGCCCCGUGUCGGGCUCUGUGCUCACAGCUCGGAGCCUGCAGCCUGCUCCGGAUUCUGUGUUUCCCUCUCUCUCUACCCCUCCCCUGCUUGCACUCUGUGUCUCUCCCUCUCAAAACUAAAUACAUAUUUAAAAAAAAUUUUUUUUUAAAGAUGAGGCCUUUGGGAGCUAAUUAGGUUUAGACUACAUCUCAAGCAGCCCUUCUGAUGGGACGAAUGCCCUUACAUCAAGAGAAAGAGAUCCCAGAGCUCUCUGCCAUGUGCCGACAGCCAAGAAGGCAGCCGUCUGCAAGUCAGGAAGAGAGCCUUUACCGGGAGCCAAAUCAGCCGGCGCCUUGGUUUUUGGGCUUCCCAGCCUGCAGAACUGUGAGACAUGAACGUCUGUUGUUUAAACCACCCAGUCUGGUAUUCUGUGAUAGCCGCCUAAGCAGACUGACAGAUUUUGGUCCCGAGAAGUGGAAUGUUUCUGUAACAUGCCUAAAAAGGUUAGAAGUGGCUGUGAAACUGCAUCACGGGUGUUGGUGGAAGAGUUUUGAGGUGCAUGCUAGCCCAGAUACAUGGAUGUUAAGCUUGAUUCUAGUGAGGUCUCACACAGAAAUGAGGACCUUGUUAUCAGAAAGUGGAGGAAAGACAAUCCAUAAAAUGCCUGAGAACUUGGCUGAACUAUGUUCUGGUGUUGUGGGGAAGGUAGAAUUUGCAAGUGAUGAAAUUAUAUAUUUAGCUGGGACGUGUCUAAACAAACUAUUGUAGGAGCAGCUUGGUUCUUCCCGAACGUUUGUAAUAAAGUAGGAAAGGAAAGAGACAGAUUGAAGAAGGAUUCGUUAAGGAACCAGAGCUUGAAGAUUUGGCAAAUUCUCAGCCUUUUCAUAUCGUAAAAAAUGAGAAAGAUUCUUUUGAAGAGAACAAAUAUGGCUGGGCAACCAUUUGAUAAAGAGAGCAUGUGUGUAAUUCAUGGACUUAAUCAGCCAUUUCAACAGAAGCCAGAGUUACACUGGGGAUUGUACUGGCAAAGACACUGCCGGUUUGAACUAAAGGGGACAGAAACGAGACAAAAUGAAGGCUGUCAGACCUCUUAGAUCCCACGGGACCAGACGAUAGAGCCAUUUGGCUGACACAUGGCCGUUCUGCAGGAGAAGAGAAGAAGGACUAAAAGGCAGUUCAGAGAUCAUCUUCUUGUCCCUUUAACCGAGGGCCACCCUCGGUUUCAGGAACACACUGUGCCUUUUGGGGGAGAACCUCAGAGGCUGGGCCACCGCCCCAGCGGGUCUGGAAGACAGAGCAUUGAACCAAAGAUGAUUACUCUUGAGGCUUAAAGUCUAAUGAAAUUUGCCUUGCCAAGUUUAGGCUUGCUUGGGACCAUCACCCCUUGUUUUCUGUUUCUCCCUUUUGGAAUGAAGAUGUCUCUCCUCUGCCUGUCUCACUAUUGUAUUUGGAAGCAUGUCGCUUGUCUGGAUUCACAGGGUCACAGAUGGAGAGGAAUUUUGCCCCAGGAUGAGGUGUACCUCCUUCUUACCCAUAUCUGAUUUAGGUGAUGUGUAGGUGAGAUUUUGGACUUUAGAUUUUAGCAUUGAUGCGGGAAUGAGCUAAGACUUUUGGGGCUGUUAGGAUAGAAUAAACACGUUUUGCAUGUGAGAAGGACAUGAAUUGGGGGUGUGGGUACCAGGGGCAGAAUGCUUUGGACUGAAUUGUGUCCUUUCAGAAUUGAUUUGACAGAAGUCCUAACCCCACCCAUGACCUCAUCUAACCCUAAUUACUUCUCAAAGGCCCCAUCUCGAAAUACCAUUACAUUGUGGUAUUUCAAUAUAUUAAUUUUGGAGGAACACAGUUCAGCCCUCGCAAAUGCUAUUUCUGUGCCUCGGAGUACGUGGUUUGAAUUUAAUUACCUUAUCUUACCAACCCAACCCUCCUGCCACUCCCUAAAUCAGAGCUAGAGUCAUUUAUUAGGAUGGCAUGUUGCCGGGGGGCCUGGGUGGCUCAGUCAGUAGAGCAUCUGACUUUGGUUCAGGCCAUGAUCUCACGGUUCGUGGGUUCGAGCCCCGCAUCGGGCUCUGUGCUGACAGCUCGGAGCCUGGAACCUGCUUCAGAUUCUGUGUCCCCCUCUCUCCCCGCCCCACCCCUGCUUGUGCUCGGUCUCUGUCUUUCAAAAAUGAAGAAACAUUAAAAAAAAUUUUUUUUUAAAGAAUGGCACGUUGCCCAGUGUCAGUCCCUCAUCCUGUGGCCACCAACCCGUCUUUGAAGACCGUCUGGCUCUGUACUGCUCUAGUUCUUUGUUCCUGCAGCGCUCACAACUCUUCUGUCACUUUCUGUGGUCUCUUGUCCCUUUAAUCCCCCACAGGAUUUUUUCCCCUGAAACAAAAGGAGCUUUUCCUAGAAGUGUAGUUUUUGAAAUUACUGAAGCAUACACAGUUCCUGUCUCCAGACGCCCACUGCGCGUCCACACAAGGCCAGCUCGAGCCCAGAACAAGUGGCAGGUGCUCGCAGGACUCCAGGUGGGCAACCAGUAGGACAAAGCGCAGAUCAUCACCAGCCUCACUCUUCUCAAGCUCGAGCUGCUUCCGGCAUAAAUACCGAACAAGCGUAUCAGGGAGAGGUCACACCAAGGGCCCCCACACCUCGGUGUGCCGUUCUAGGGAGAACUUUGAACAAAGACCACCACCUCUUUAUAUCUGAGUGUGUGUGUGGAUAUGAGUGCAUGAGAGAGAAAUGGAAAGAAACUGAGGCAAUAAUAAAUAUUCAUUUUAGUCUUUGUGUCUUUCUGUAAUUGAGAAGAACCUCUAGUAACGGAAAAUCCAUUCCUAAAGGACACGUUUAGGAAGUAAGUUUGGGCUGGGGAAGGUAUGCGGGGAAAAACUCGAGCUACAAGACGAAAAUAGACAAAACAUCAUGGUCACAAAUUUCUCUAAUUCCAAACUUGUCAUAACUUGAUUAGGGCCUGGUUUGAAACUUACCUUGACUUGGAAAAGCUGGUUUUGGGUCAUAAACACUGUAAAUGAGAUCACAAGGGAGAAAUUGCUUAUUGGAGAGAAGAAUUUUCAAGACAUCCUCAGGACUUUACAAACAGCCAUUACUUAACAUUAAUUAAAGUUUUUGUGAUACAAAUUAUAAAGCAUUGAGCACAAUAUAAAUCCAAAGUCACACAAAGCCGUUCCAAUGCUUUUAUAGGCGAUUCUGAUAUGUGGAUUAAAACUGAUGUAAGAAUCCCCUACUACACGAAAAAUGAUUUCAUUUUCAGACAUUUUCUAAUUUACAUACUCUAGGGCUGAAAUGGUGAAAUUUUGUCACAGACUUUUAGUGAUUAAUAAAAAUGAACAAACGGCAAACUAAGAAUUUAAUAAGAUCCCUAAUGUGUCCUUUAAAUAUACCAAAAUAUAUGCCCUAUUUGACUACUUAGAAUCCCUGCAUUGUAAUAUUUGUUUUGGAAAUAAUUGAGAAUAAUAAGUUUCUAUUCUAUAAAAUUUUUUUCAGGAUCUGAAGUGAAAAAAAUUGAAGCCACAAAUGUUCCUUGUACACAGCUUUCGAUGUCAUUUUUUCAUCGGUUAUAUGAUGAAGAUAUUGUACGCGAUGAUGGACAUAUCAUUAAGUGUUUAGAUUCUUUUUGCGAUCCCUUUCCUAUAUCCGAUGAAUUACGAAAAGUAAGUAUAGAUUUUUAAAAUUUCAUAAUAGAAUUUUAUUUCAGGAAAUGCUUAAUGUCAAAAACCUUUACCUAUGUAAAAUACCUAAAACACCUUUUAUCAAUUAUUAAUGAUCAGUGACAUCAGUUACAUUGGUAGAUUUUUUUCUUGGACGGGACUUUUACUAUCAACUGAAUUAUCUGUGUAUUUCAGUAGUUCUCAACCAGAUGCUACUAAUAGUCAUGCAUAGAGGCCAGAGAUGUUGCUAAACAUCAUGCCGUGGGCAGGACAGCCCCCUACAACAGAGUUCUCUGCCCCAAAAUUUCAAUAGCGCUAAGGCCGAGAAGCCCUGACCUGCUUAAGUCAUGGCUAUUUUUCUUCGAAAUGGGGCUCUUAACAUAUCAAAUGACUAUUUAAAAAUAUCCCUGUUGUAAAAGAAUCGUUCUGCCUCACAGCUGAGAUCAAAAAAGCCAUUUUAGGGGCACCUAGGUGGCUCAGUCAGUUAAACGUCCAACUCUUGGUUUCGACUCAGGUCGUGAUCUUGUGGUUUGUGGGUUCGAGCCCCACAUCGAGCUCCACACUGACAGUCUGGAACCUACUUGGGAUUCUCUCUCUCCCACCUGCCCCUAUCCCUCCCCUACUCACCCUCUCUCUCUCUCUCUCAAAAUAAAUAAACUUUUUAAAAAACCUUCGAUUAACUAAUUUUUUUUUAGCAAGAGGUGUAUUGAAUCAGAAGACAUAGAUUAUUUAGCUAAUUCCUGAGUUAUUAUUUAUAAGAUAGUAACUAAGCAAAUCAUUCAAUAUCUUGAGCCCCAAGAUCUUAUCUGUACAACAUAGAGAUUAAAAUUCCCAUUCUAUCUUGUUGAAACUGUUGAGAUAUGAGUUGAGAGAGCAUUUAAAUAUACUUUUUAAAAAGUGUGACAUGUUAAAAUGAAAUGCAUUAUUAUCAUCAUUAUUUUAUUUAUAGAGAGAGCAAGAGCAACUGGGAGAGAGGCAGAGGGAGAGAGAGAGCAUCUCAAGCAGGCUCCAUGUUCAGCACAGAACCCAACACAGGGCCCCAUCUCAUGACCUAAUCCAAAAUCAAGAUCAUGACCUGAGCCAAAAUCAAGAACCGGACACUCAAUUGACUGAGCCACCCAGGCGCCCCUUAUUAUCAUUAAAUUAUGGAGAUAAACUGUUUACCAAAUGGACAAAAAUUAGGGCUUUUAGGGGCACCUGCAUGGCUGUCGGUUAAGCUGCUGACUUCGGCUCAGGUCUUGAUCUCGUGGUCCGGGAGUUCGAGCCCCGCGCCAGUGUCUGUGCUGACAGCUCCGAUUCUGUGUCUCCCUGUCUCUCUGCCCCUCCCCUGCUUGCACUCUGUCUUUCUCUCUCUCAAAAAUAAGUAAACAUUAAAAAAAAAAUUAGGGCCUUCAGGGGCUCCUGGCUGGCUCAGUCGAUGGAGCGGGCAACUCUUGAUCUCAGGAUUACGAGUUCAAGCCCCACAUUGGGUGUAGAGAUUAUUAAAAAAAAAAUAAAGCUUUGGUAUCAAAUAGACAUAGAUUCAAAUACAGGCUCAGCCACUUAAUAACUGUGGUACUUAGCCUCAUUUUUUCAUCUAUAAAAUAAGAAUGAUGCAAGAAUCAUGUGAGGGGCCCCGUGUUGCUCAGUCGGUUAAGGUCAUGAUCUCACAGUUCAUGGAUUCGAGCUCUGUGCUGACAGCUCGGAGCCUGCUUGAGAUUCUCUGUCUCCAUCUGUCUGCCCCUCUCCCACUCGACUCUAUCUCUCUCUCUCAAAAAAAAAAGAAAAAAAUUCUGUGAGAUAAUGCACUUAAAGUGUUUAGCCCAAUGCCUAGUAUUUAGUAAGCUUUCAGUAAUAGUAAUGACUAGCCACUAAUUACUAUUAUUCUACAUUUAGGAGAUGUCGCUAUGUGUAAGUUGAAUAAGGAGAUGCAUAAGUUGAAUUUAUUGUAAAUCCAGAUGGGCAUGACCUAGGGAAGCCCCUGACACACCAUUCUGGACAUAGACAUCUUGUCUGUAGGAGACCGGAAGGCAUCCAGCCAGUCUCUGCGUUCUUCUACACCAACAGAACACCUGAAAGAACCCUUAGUUGAAGAAGACAAUCAAACUACUCAUUGAGGAUGUCCAAACACAUAACUGAGGAGACGAUAUAUAGUUGCUCUGUAGUUAGGUGGUAUGUAUUACACAAGAUAAGCACCAUACCUUGGGGAUCUGAUAAUAAUUUCUACUCUUCCUUACCAAGGACUGGAAAUUAACCUCUACAAAGUGUCUAGUCUAGUCCGGGUCUUCUUCCUUUUGGGGCACUAUGUCAGCUCUUCUUAUCUGUCCCCGAUCUCUGCUGGCACAUGUACCUCUCUACCACAAGGCCCUGUCCCCUAAUUUCAGAGAGCUCACCCUCACUUAUACUGAGAGCAUUGGCAACGGACUUUUCGAGAGACGGAUGCGCCUUCUCUGCUCUGCUGCUUGUCGUCUGGUUUUCUUUUUUUAAUUUUUUUUUAGAAUUUAUUCAUUUUUGAGAGAGAGAAUGAGGGAGCAUGAGUGGCAGAGGGGCAGAGAGAGUGGGAGACGCAGAAUCUGAAGCAGGUUCCAGGCUCUGAGCUGUGUGCUGACAGCUCAGAGCCCGACGCGGGGCUCAAACUCACGGACCGGGAGAUCAUGACCGUCGGACGGAAGGAAGUCGGACGCUCGACCGCCUGAGCCCCCCAGGCUCCCCUCUGCUGCUGGUCUUCUUUACUUCCAUGCGUAGCCCUUGAAUUCAGGAAGUACCCACACUGUUUUUCUGUCGCCCCGUGGCGACAAGCAAGGUGUUAACUUGGCUGCUUUCUGGCUGAAAAAAUAAAUCGAUAAAUAACCUCCAGCCUUAGCCUGAACUGAAAAGGGCCCUCCGCCAUGCAGCAGCACCGAGCCCGUCACACCGCCUCACCGAGGCCUGCCGAUAACCACCUUCCGCAGGCGGCUCGCAAGUCUGGCUCCUUAACCACAUGGCACACCUCCUCCCUGAGGGCCCCACGUGGAAGCACACGGGGAGAUCAGCCGCAGCUGGGUCCCGCUUCCACAUUUAUUCCCCAAAUAUUUUCAUUUCUGUCAUUUUUACACACGCAGCCUAAUCAGUUCAGUAACCAGAGUGCUCAUGCGAGGAAUGCGUUCGUUCGUCAUUCCUGAGAGCUUUAGUCGCUCUUGUGUUAAGCCAGAUCUUUAGGUAGCUACAAACUCAGGCUUCAAUAUCACAUCAUUUCCUUAGAGAGAGAGAGAGAGAGAGAGAGAGAGAGAAGGAGAGAAGCAGGCAAGGAGGGGAGAUGGGCCAAGCCGUAUGUGUGGCACACCCAGGGAGUGAUAAACCGUAAACCACUUCCCCUCACCUUUUACUGCAUGUGACUUUGGCUUUCAUAAACUCAUUGCAAGUAACCUGCACACUGGCAACACCACAGAGUUUAUUUUAAGUGCCUUUUUUAUGCUGACCUUGUGAUGAAUAUUCAUUUGAGAUUGGGGUAAAUCAAAUGUGAAGCUUGAUCAGGUUUCCUAAUUUAAGUGCACUUCUUGCUACUAGACAGUGAUUUUGUAUAACUCCUAUUUCCCUCCUUUACCUGUUUGGUAGUGUUAGUGUUAUGUACAAUUUUUACAGCAUUCCGACUCCUUGUUGUGUUUUCUUUCCCACUUUGUUUCUUGGUUACAGGUUUCUGCCUUUUAACUUUUCGUACUGUGUGGGUAUUUUACUGUUAGCUACUUCACAUUCUUUUUACAAGCAGGUGGAGUAUAAACAACUCAAUAAAAGAAAUGUGUGUUAUGGUUUACAUUCGUCACCUUGUUCGUAUCUACCACAAUCGAGUCAAUCAGUUGUGUGGAAUGGCCAAUGGUAUAAGAAACCCUCCCACGUCCGACCCUGUCGUGCUGUUUUCUGAAAGAGGUGGUGAAGUCUCCAGAGAGCGAGAGUCAGUAUAGAUGGGCGAUGGGUAGGAUGAUAUUAUUAGGGGACAGCAGGAAAAGAGGUGGUUAUGAUGGUCCACUUACCUGAAUAGUUCAAAAUGGAGUAAUGGGGGUGGGCCGGGGCAGGGGUGGUAAGGAAAGUGGUCAUCCAGAAGUGCAGGGGUAGGGCUUAGAAAAUGAGGGCCAGCUUCCAGACUGAAGCAAAGGCUACAGACCUUCUGGGAUGGGGAAGUUUCUCCAUUUAUUUAUGGUCCCUUGUUUCCAAAUAAGAUUUAAGGUGACUCAGCACUAAAAUUGCAGUAGUGCUAAAACCAUUACUAAAGAUACAAAUUAGAACAAAGGUAUAAAGGGGAAGAGGAGAAGAUUUAGAUUUAUUCCUUUAACUGAGCAUCAGUACCUAAAGGUAACAUGGAGGGAAAAUGAGUGCAGGUCUCACCGAUUACUCUUUCUGGUUGUUCAGGAUUGGUUGUUGACAUAGGCCUAGGAUUAUUUGUAAGUUCAUAAAUGGAAACUUUUGAAAACAAAAAUUGGAGCCUUAAAUCAUGUUAGAUUAAGAUGAAUUUUAUCAUUCUCCAUAGGUUUUGCUAGUGGAAGACUCAGAAAAAUAUGAAAUAUUUAGCCAAGCUGAUAGAGAAGAGUUCCUGUUUUGUCUUUUCAAACAUCUUUGCCUUGGUGGAGCCCUUUGUCAGUACGAAGAUGUGCUUAAUCCAUAUCUGGAAACAACAAAGCUUAUCUAUAAAGAUCUAGUGAGGUAAUGGUGCUAGAUUACAGUAGGUAAAUCUCUGGUUAACGGAGUGCGUUGUUUAACUGUGCUGGGCUCGCCUAGCGUCUGUCGGGUCCUGUUGACGCCAACCACCAAAGCGUGUGAGAACAGCACCGCUUCGAACCCCUUUUCCGGCCUCUCCCUUCUCGUCCAGGUUGGGACACGGUCACAUCUCCCUGACUCUCUUUAGCACCCAGUUCCCGGUUCUCAUCUGACUGUGCUUCCUUCCCCAUCCAACGGAUUACUCGCUCCAUGCCUGCUUAGCGGCUGACUUAUCCCAGAUCUUCUAUCACAUUCUCCCCAGGUUCCUGUCGUGCUUACCCCAGGUCUUCUGUCACACUUAUCCCAGGCAUCCUGUCACAUUUACCUCAGAUCUCCUGUCACACUUACCUUAAGUCCCCUGUCACCUCACCCCAGGUCUGCUGUCACAUCAGUUUCCUAUCACACUUAACCCAGGCUUCCUGUCACACUUAUCCCAGGCGUCCUCUCACAUUUACCUCAGAUCUCCUGUCACACUUACCCCAGGUUCCUGUCACAGAUACCUCGGUCUCCUGUCCACUCACCCAGGUCUCAUGUCACAUUUAGCACAGGUCUCAUUUCACAUUUACCACCAGUCUCAUGUCACCUUUACCCCAGGUCUCCUGUCACAAUUACCCCAGGUCUCCUUUCACAUUUACCCCAGGUCUCCUGUCAUAUUUACCCCAGGUGUCCUCUCAAAUUUAUUUCAGGUCUCCUGUCACCACAUCCCAGGUGUACUACCCUUUUACCUCAGGGCUCCUUCACACUUACCCAAGGUUCCUCUCAUACUUACCGUAGGUCUCCUGUCACAUUCACCCCAGGUCUGAUGUCACUUUUACCUCAGGUCUCCUGUCACACUUAUCGCAGAUCUCCUGUCACAUUCACCACAGGCUUGAUGUCACUUUUACCUCAGGUCUCCUAUCACACCUACCCAGGGCUCCUGUCCCAUUUACCACAGGAAUCCUGUCACACUUACCCCAGAUGUCCUGUGCAUUUACCACAGGUCUCUUGUCGUAUUUACCCCAGGUCUCCUGUCACAUUCACCCCAGGUCUGAUGUCGCUUUUACCUCAGGUCUCCUAUCAUACUUACCCCAGGUUCCUGUCACACUUACCCUAGGUCUCCUUUCACACUUAUCCCAGGUCUUGGGUCACACUUACCCCAGGUCUUCUGUCACACUUACUUAAGGCCUCCUGUCACACUUACCCAGGUCUCCUGCCACACUUAACCCAGGCCUCCUGUCACAUUUAUCCCAGGCGUCCUGUCACAUUUACCUCAGAUCUCCUGUCACACUUACCUUAAGUCCCCUGUCACCUCACCCCAGGUCUGCUGUCACAUCAGUUUCCUAUCACACUUAACCCAGGCUUCCUGUCACACUUAUCCCAGGCGUCCUCUCACAUUUACCUCAGAUCUCCUGUCACACUUACCCCAGGUUCCUGUCACAGAUACCUCGGUCUCCUGUCCACUCACCCAGGUCUCAUGUCACAUUUAGCACAGGUCUCAUUUCACAUUUACCACCAGUCUCAUGUCACCUUUACCCCAGGUCUCCUGUCACACUCACCCCAGGUCUCUUGUCACACUCACCUCAGGUCUCCUGUCAUGUUGGCCCCAGGUCUCUUUUCACACUUCUCCUAGAUUUCCUGUCACACCUACCCCAGAACUCCUGUUAUACUUACCCCAGGUCUCCUGUGACAUUUACCCCAGGUCUCUUUUCACAUUUCAGGAGAACACAAGAUUCCUCAGGUUGUGUAAAUUUGCUUGACUAAUAGUAGAACAAUUACCUUUUUUGUAGAGAGGUGGAAAGAUUUUUAUCUAGGCAUAAACUUUACAUUUUUAAAUUAAUUCUAAAUUCCAGGUUUGCUUAGGUGAUCCACUAGUUCUGUUUUUUCUCUUUGAAGAUCUAAUUGGUAUAAAAACGUUAUAAUCAUUUAUUUAUACUUGGGUUGGGCUUUUCAGUGAUGAAGAUAUUGGAUCAUGUCUGUAGGCAAAAGGGAUAGGAACGAGUAAAAGCAGAGUUUACUUACAAAAUUUUGCUUUAAUCGGAAAAAAACAGAAUUAGCUUGUCGUAAAACUCUCGAUCGUUACUUGCACUCAGCAUCGCAAAUCUCACUUCUGCUCUGUGUGUCAUUCAGCUGUGUGACAACUACGUGAUGUAGUUAUUUCGCUUCAUUCUUUUUCUUAUAUAGUUUUUUUUAAGUUGAUUUAUUUUGAGAAAGAGAGAGAGAGGGUGGGGGAGGAGGAGAGAGAGAGGAGAGAGAGACUCCCAAGCAGGCUCCUCGCUGUCAGCUCAGAGCCGGAGGCAAGGCUGGAACCCGUGAACCGCGAGAUCAUAACCUGAGCCAAAACCGAGAGUCAGACACUUCACUGCUUGAGCCACACAGGGGCCCCUCUGAUACGGUUUUAAAAACAAAAAUUAUUUCUUUAAUUUGCCUCCGAUUUUUGUGGAAAAGUUACUCUGCCAAUACAUAAAGAUUGUCCAAAAAAGUGUUAGAAACAGAAUUUGAGAAAAGCAUAUACAUACUCACAUCCAAAACAUUCUGUCCUUAUAUUCAGCUCGUGAAAACCCGUAGGCCUGCUUCCAGCACUCCCUGCAGAUACUCUGUGGUACACCUAGUCUCUCACACACACACACACACACACACGUGCGCGCACACCGCUGCCACGACAUUGUGUUGUACUUCACUGGCCACACGAACGUGUGGGAUUCGUCACCAUCGUGUGCUAUGCGAGAGGAGAUUCUGCUGGAGGUGUUUGAAACAGAAGUAGCUUUAGAACCUAAACACUGGAGAAACCGUUUUCCCUGACCUCCCCUGUCCUGGAUUCUCACCUGUGACUCUCCUCCACGCUGCUUGGGUGCUAAGUGACACUAUGGCUCCAGGGUCAACGGCCACUGGUCAAAUGAGUGGCCAAAAUUCACGGCAUCCAACAGGAAGAAGAGAAUCACGCCCGCAGAAUCCCUUAGGCGGGCAACCGACGAGUGUUAAUACUGUGCUCAGAGCUCCGCCAGCCUCCGAAGAGACUACAAGAGGAGCACCAGACAGCCCUCGACCUUAAGGAAAUUAUGAGAAACUAACAUAGUAAGUGAUAGUUUAGAAGGUUUUAUAAGGAAAAACUGUUACGAAAUCCGAUGUUCGAUUUUUUAUAGGCAAAUGUUCGCAGCUCCUGAUGCUGUAAUAAGUACCCCAGGAGUUGAAAAGAGGACAUUAUUAGGGUGGCCGUGUUAGGGAAGUCUCGAUGCAGUGGGGUCCCCAAGAGCCGGCAGAGAGGGCAGCCCGUCCCCUGUCCAGGGGAGACACGCACGUCUCCAGUCUGCCAUUCCAGGGGACGCUGAGAAGGAACCAGCCCGAUUACAGCAUUACUCUUACUUGAGAACCAUUAACUGUUUCUCACGAUGACCCGAGUUGAAGCACGCUGAGGAAUUUCUCUGCUAAGUGCGGAGGAGAUGUGAGGUUGUCUUCCCAAAACAGCUUUAGAAGAAAAUUACGAUCAGGAUGAGUAUUCGCUUAAGAUGGCUGAAGGGCCAGUGCAAAGCAACCGAGUGGGCUGGCUGGUCGGGGUCCCUCCGGAGCCCUGCCGGUUUGCUGAUCUCUCGCGCCGCCUCUGGCCUUUCUAGCUGGUUGUGCUGAUGUGGGUCAGAGGCGGUGGCACUUGGUCAAGGUGAGGGCGCGGGGUGGAUCGGCGUCGCUUCUCGGGAGGAAUGCACGUGUAGGGGAAGCACCCGUGGACCCCCAGCAGUUGUCAGUACCUUGUCAUCCCGAGCCACAUAUCCAGACAAGUCACUUGUACAGGCCGAGUUAACCGGCAAGGGUAUUGUUUUUCCCUGCCCCGUUACUUGAAUUUUGGGCGCGUACCCAUCUUUCAGGAGAACGUCUGCUAUCUUUCUAAUUGUACACGCAGUAGCUGCUUUCCAUUAUCUAACCUGCCCUCGCAGAGAAACGUCAUCACUAAUCUGCUCCAGAAAAGACGUGCAUCCCUUAUGUGUGUCCGUGUUGGAGGCGCGUCACAGAGCUUGAUUUUAGUGGUCUCUGGCUCAAACCAAAGGGUGAGAACAUUCUGAAGAUAUGUUUUCCCUCAUCCGUUAUUACAAGUCCCAUAAGAUACCCUUUUGAAACGUUCUGGAAAGUGCCUUUUCAAGGAUUAUGGUUCUUUUAAAUAAUAUAGGUAAUACUUCAGAGUCGGUUCAUUGGAGAGUAAAUAUGACCAGUUGUUUCACUACAUUUGAAAAAUGUCUAUGCAGAAAUAAUUCUGUAGUUACUAAUGGAAGCCUUUGUCUUUUCUGCUGUCAAUAUUAAACACAGGCUCCGAUCAAAGUUUUUGGAGAGGUUUUCCAAACUGCGUACCUGCCUGAGAUGUGAAAUUUUAUUAUUUAAACCGUGAGGCUUAGAUUAUGGCCCUCAAAUGCUAAUUAAGCAGUGGGAUUCUUAUUUCUUUUUUUUUUUUUUAAGUUUAUUCAUUUAUUUUGAGAGAGAAAGAGAGCGGGAGAGGGGCAGAGAGAGAGAGAGAGAGAGAGAGAGAAUCCCAAGCAGGCUCCGCACUGUCAUCACAGAGCCCGACGCUGGGCUCAAACUCCAGAGCUAUGAGAUCAUGACCUGAGCUCAAAUCAAGAGUUGGUCACUUAACCAACUGAGCCACCCAGGAACCAACUUCUAAUAAUGUUCAAAUGGUAGUUUCUUCGGUAAGUAGUACACUACAGUACAUGUAUGUGUUAAGUGAUUGUUAAAUGAAGUGUCAAACACUAAAUUUUCUUCUCAGUUUAUUUGGUAAGUACAAACUUUUACAAGGGUUGGUCUAGGUUGUUUUUGUUUUUGUUUUUAACUGGGCUAAUUUACAUGCAGUAAAGUGAACAAAUUAUAGUGGACCUACAGCUUAGUGAAUUUUUAUAUAUUUAUACCCGUAUCACCAUCUCCAGAUCAACACUUAAAAUCGAUAUAACCAUAGGUAUGUUCUGUAGUUCGGUUUGGGUGGUUAUGUAGGUGUGUGCAGUAUAAAUGUUUUAUAUGGAGUGACUAUAGUUACCCCUUGGAUAAGCACAGAACUUCAAAUAUAGUCUUCAGUUUUUAAGCAGUAUAUGUUAAGUGUUUAGAGAAAUAAAAUGACCUUAAUCCAUGUCGUAGAAGGAUGUGAAAAUUAAUUGCAUGAUUUCUGCAGAUAAAAGCUGCCUAAAAAAAACAAAAACUGCCUAAGAACUUUUAACCCUGACAUGGCUCAGGUCUGCCCAUUCCAGUAGGUGCGCAAACACACACACACACACACACACACUGGACACAGUCCCCCUUCAUUCUCCUCCUGGCCCACCUCACUCUUUCAUACGUAGUGAAGGAGAAAGAUGCUUGCACCUAGUGAAGUGAGGAAGGGGCCAGCUUCCUUUCAAUGUGACGUCCCCCUGUCACCCAGGAGGACUGCCUGUGGUGCACAUCUGCUGGAUUGGAGGCAGGGAUGAGCGGUUGAGACCUAGGGAAAGGACCUGGAUGGACGCUGUGUCACCUGGAGUCUGUUCCCAGAAAUACCACUUUCAGCUGGAAUGUCUUUAAUGUCUCGUUUAACUUCUCUGGCCCUACUGUCUCUAAACCUGGUAAAGUCGUGCCCAACAGCCUCAUGGAGCUGUGUGGUCUUUAUAUGGAGGAAGUCACACGAAGGUAUUUUGCAGAUGGUAAAGCAUUAGGAAGGGAACAUGUGUGCAUCGCUCUCUGUAGCUUGUUCCUUCCCUCUCUGUGCUUCCGCUCUGUGCUGCCGCAGGGAGUCUUGUGGGGGAGAGUAACUGAAAGAGAGGUACUGAAAGAAAAUAAUUUUAAUAUGAUAUAAUUUAAUAGUACAUAAUUUAGCGAAUAGUUUUCAUAUGCCUUAUCCCACUCGAUUCUCACAUAAUUCUAAAAAGAACCAUAGUGUGCCCAGUUGGCGUGUGAGGAAAUUGAUGUUCAGAAAGGUUAAUCUUUCCCAAAAUGAACCAACAGAUCAGUGCCAGAGCUGGCGUGUUGUUUGCAUUGUUGAAUUCUGUAGUUGCGCCUUUGCCUACCCCUUACCGCUGCCUACACUUCAGUCGGACUUUUAUCAAUUCUUAUUUUUCUGAUCAUUGUCUCUGGCUUGGGAAACAUUCAUCCUGAGUCUCGGUCAGACCUCAGAUAUUCUAACUGUAAAAUUACGUGUUCUGCAGUUCUCCAUCCUGGGGUAAAACUGCGGGUCCGUCCUUUUCAAACCAUUUGAGUCGGAUAUUGUGUAUUUCUAUAUUAUGUAUGCAUAAGAACACCUGCAGACUAAACGGAUCAGUAUUCUAAAUGUAUUAUGCCAAACACUAAAAAAAAGGCAGGGGGUGUGGGGGGGUGCCUGGGUGGCUCAGUCAGGUAAGCGUCUGACUUCAGCUCAGGUCUUGAUCUCACGGUCUGUGGGUUCGAGCCCCACGUCGGGCUCUUUGCUGACAGCUCAGAGCCUGGAGCCUGCUUCGGAUUCUGUGUCUCCCUGCCCCUCUCCUGCUCAUGCUCUGUCUCUCUCUUUCUCUCAAAACUGAAUAAACAUUAAAAAAAAUGUAGGGGUACCUAGGUGGCUCAGUUAAGCGCCUGACUUCAGCUCAGGUCAUGAUCUCACGGUUCGUGGGUUUGAGCCUCGCAUCGGGCUCUGUGCUGGACACUUGCUGGGAGCCUAGAGCCUGCUUCGGGUUCUGUGUCUCCCCCUCUCUCUGCCCCUCCCCCACUCAUGCUCUCUCAAAAAUGAAUAAACGUUAAUAAACAAAAAUAAAUGUAUUGUGUAAAUGCUUGUUAUAUUUAAAAUGUAUCCCUUCCCCCCCCCCAUUUUAGUGUUCGAAAGAAUCCUCAAACCAAGAAAAUACAAAUUACCUCUUCCAUCUUUAAAGUGACGGCAUACGUAAGUGUUGAAGGGGAAUUUGCAACCAAUCAAUUUAAUUACUGGGUAUUAACAGGGUUGUUACAAUGGGAGUUAGCAACUAGUGCAAUGUUAUGUCUAGGAGAAAAGAUGAUGGAUGAUAUUUAGUGUUUUUGUCAAAAUUAGAAGUUGAUAAGUUACGCUUUUAUUUGGAGGGCCAAACGUCCCCCCUGGCCUCUUUUCUGUUGUCCCUGUCUAAUAAUAGUCCGUCCUUAUUUAAGAGCGAAAUGUGUGACUCAGAUGCAGUAGAACACAUUCUCUAGCUUGUCGAACCGUAGCUUCUAGGGCAGAUAAGUAAGGAUGUUGUAAAUGUCUGUAUAUCACAGAAUCUGAUGCUUGAAUUCUAGUGUCAUAUAAAAGAUUGUUAGCACAUUUGAAGCAGUUUCUAAGUAUCUUUAUUCAAUCACUUAACAAAUACUGUUAAGUGCCGGUUGUGUAUCCCCCGCUGUGUUGGGCAUUUUGUGGUGAUAAAGAAAAGAAACAAAGUUGCUUCCCUCAUAGUAUGUAAAGAUCACAUUCUAAAGGAAAGCAAAGAUAGAAGAAAAUUGCAAGACAAAUUUUUGCAAUAUUAGCACUUUAAAAGCACUUUUUCAAAAGAGAAGAUUUCCUUUUAGACUAGAAGUUCCUUAAGGUCGAGAAUUAUGUGCAUUUGUAUUGUACAUAUGUACUGUUGCCCAGUAGACUGCUGUCAGUAAAUAUUUUAAAGUAUCAGUUAAUUACCAAUUUAAUUGUCAGAGAUUUGAUGUAAGUUUCAUGACAUUUUAGCAGAAAAUAUAUAGUAGUUAAAUAUGUUGAUUAUUACUUACAUGCAGUUGUAGACUAAAUAACCUAGGUUUAUCUUUUUCAGGAUUCCGCUGGCAUGUGCUACCCUUCAACAAAGUCUCACGAACAGACAUUUUCUUACUUUCUUGUGGAUCCGAUCAGGCGUCAUGUUCAUGUUCUAUACCACUGUUACGGUGUGGGGGAAAUGUCUUAACAGUAUUCUCUCAGAUUAUCGAUUUUACGGUUUUUACCAAUCUUUUACUUUGACGUCAUUUUAUAGGUAAACAUCUCCUCUGCCAGUUAAUUUAAGUAAAAUGUAGAGAAGCCGCAUAGAACAGAAGGACACGGUACAAGAUGCCUGUCUUUAAAUUUGCCUGGAGUGGUAGCAUAGGGACCGAACUCCAUCCCUACCACGGUCUACACCAAUAUAGUUGUGGACAAUUUACAGAAAGAUACAAGGAACUAAAAAUCCAGUCCGUAUUUGUCGCAUUAGGAUUCAAGUAAGGCCUCGAUUUUCCACGUAUUUUAUUUUAGAAGCUAAUUAAUUUUAGCUUGAAACUGUGGCAGAAAACUGACCAUCUCUCCACUGAUCAUUAUUAUCAACUGUUAGCUUUUCAAAUUUGAGUUUCAUUUCAUUGCAUUUCUUCACUGCAUAAAGAUUUACACGUCCAGGGGUGUAAAAUGCAUAACAAUUCCUUUGCUUCGUUUGUCCCAGUUAAAAUCCUCAAUAAAAAAAGUCAUGUUCUGAAAGUAAUCAUGUUCUGAAGUCUUUUAGCACAUAAUAAAUUACCUCUGCGGCUG
This 19534-nucleotide long non-coding RNA is filed under the name Lynx pardinus (Iberian lynx). The stretch from base 4752 to 4836 matches the Rfam family "tRNA". The record is from RNAcentral. Lineage: Eukaryota; Metazoa; Chordata; Mammalia; Carnivora; Felidae.